This is a long non-coding RNA of Gasterosteus aculeatus aculeatus (three-spined stickleback), 1740 nucleotides long. The record is from Ensembl. Lineage: Eukaryota; Metazoa; Chordata; Actinopteri; Perciformes; Gasterosteidae.
AGAAAGCAGACAGCGGGGAGGGAGGGUGACUGAUGGGCGAUGUGAAAGGUGCUGGUAUUUAAGGUGCUCUGGCCCGAAUGUCAAGACAGUAUGUGGCGGGCUUCCACGCGGUCGUGGAGGACACGGGCGAGUGAGCAGUGACCCGGGGAGAUGGGGCUUACUGUAUGUUCAUUUAGUAGUUCGAAGGCUCGACCCGCCGAGGGCGCCGUCCUGGGAGGCCUCCACGAGGAGAUGGAUUUCUGAUGGGAUUCAUGAUCAGGGGAGGAAAGUUUCAUCUGGUGAUUGGGGUAAGUAUUUGAGUAGAAAACAAACUAAUCGAAUUGUGGUUAAUAUAAAAAAGAAAUCAUUUUUGUCAGAAUUGUCAGAAAUGUAAAUUUAUUUUUUUUCUUAUUGAAAACCACGGUUUUCAAAAUGUUUAUGACCUUUUUUUAAAUAGAAUGUAAAAAAAGUAAAAAAAACGUCCACAUUUUUGAACUCCUAGCAGAUGAAAGGUGUCGAUGCUCUCUUACCGCGCUAAUGAGCCCGCUGUUUGAACUGGUGCCGUAGGACUGAAUUCAUGGCACCUAAUAGGGGAAUUCUUUUCUAGCGAUAGGCUGUAAAACGGGUUGUUUCCCAGUCCAACUGCCAGGAAAGAUAGCAGCUUCCUGAAAGUGUUCAGGUGUGGCCUUCCUCAACAAGUUAAUUGUACCAUGUUGCAUGUCUCCUAAAAGAAUGUGCACACACUGAAUAAACUCCAGUGACUGAGAUAACAUUGAGGAUCUAUCUUGCUGCCCUGUUGACUCCUGCACUCCAACGAGGUGUUUUUCAGGUAAAGGAAGAGAUCCUAUCAGUAAACGCAGUUAAUGUUCCUUGGUGUGUAUGCCACUACUGACAAGUCAUUUCGUGCCUGGACUGCAGCACUGUCACCAGUGCUUGCAUCAGCUUGGUGGAAAGACUUUUGUUUUCUCUGGUUUAGAAGCAUUUCCAGGAAUACCUCUUCCCGUGCAGUAAUGUUUCAUUGGAUCCUUUCAAUCAUAACGACCUUUUGGAGUUUUGUGUCCUACUUUGGUUUCAGGGCACUUCCCUGGAAUGCCUCUCAAUCCGUUGUCUACAAAUGAGAAAAUACGUCAUGUGUUGUAUUAAAGUGUAUAAUGCAAAGGCCAACUAUGAUCAAUCAUCUUUAGUUGCUGUAAUAACCUAUUGCUAAAUCUUUCAAUGAAUGAAGUAAGGCAGAUGUUAUCAUCUUAUCUUCACUCAGCAUUUCUUGUCAAAUGGGGAAGGUCACGAGUGACUCAGGUUCAACGUGCAGCUCAACAUCUUGUAACUUCUGAAACUUCAAGAUGUUCAUUCCAGAAGGACCUAAAGCUGUCUGAUUGACUAAUUGUUUGUAUUACGUUAAGAUUAGGCAGUAAACUGAGUUGAAAAAGAGCUUCAUUAAUGAAGCAUGAGUUGUUUUAAACGUCCAUUCUGGACUCUUGAGGACCAACUUUGGAUGAGUGUUGUACUAUGAGAACUGAAUUCCAUAGAUGGUGGCAUCUUCAGGUGUCAUCUAUGGGCUCAGUUCUUUUGGUACGGUACUAAUUUGUCAGCUUUAAUGCCCCGUAGAUUUUGUGUAUAUUGUUACCUUUCUUUGAAUGAUUAAUAAGGAGAUAUUUUCAAAUUGCGUAUACUUUUACUGUGAUUAGAAUAUACAUUUGUAAAAUGAUUGAUACGAGUUAAUCAUGCAUAUUGUAUUUUCAUAAUAAACAUAAUCAAAGAUAA